This 749-nucleotide ribosomal RNA is filed under the name Plesiastrea versipora. Its description in RNAcentral is "eukaryotic LSU rRNA". It matches the Rfam family "Eukaryotic large subunit ribosomal RNA", at positions 63 to 641 of the family's 3401-position model. The record is from RNAcentral. Lineage: Eukaryota; Metazoa; Cnidaria; Anthozoa; Scleractinia; Plesiastreidae.
AACUAACAAGGAUUCCCUCAGUAACGGCGAGUGAAGCGGGAACAGCUCAAAUUUGAAAUCUCCGAUGCUUGCAUCGGCGAGUUGUAGUUGCGAGAAGCACUUUCUAGGUGGAUCGGUCGCGCCUAAGUUGCUUGGAACAGCACGUCGCAGAGGGUGACAACCCCGUCUGUGGCGCGGCCGGCCGCUGACGAUGUGCUUUCGAAGAGUCGGGUUGUUUGGGAAUGCAGCCCAAAAUGGGUGGUAAACUCCAUCUAAAGCUAAAUACUGGCGUGAGACCGAUAGCGAACAAGUACCGUGAGGGAAAGAUGAAAAGAACUUUGAAAAGAGAGUUAAAAAGUACGUGAAACCGUUGAAAGGGAAACGAAUGGACUCAGCAAUGCGCCGUUUGAGAUUCAGCCGGUGGGUGGGAUCGGCGCGGGGUUUGCGGAUCUGAAUGGACCGCGGCCUCGAGCUCGUUUCUCCCCGCCGUCGCACUUCUCUUGGGCGCGCGUCAACGUCGGUUGGGACUGGGUCUGAAAGGUGCCGGGAAGGUAGGUCUGGACCUCCGGGUCCGUUCUGUUACAGCCCGGUUCUCUCAUGGCUCGGGCCCGACCGAGGAGUUGCAGCGCAUGCCUCUUGUGGCUAGGGUCCCGUCCUUCCGGCCGGUUGUCGAAUGUGGUGGACUGCUUGCAGUGCUCCGCGACUGCUGCCGGUCGUUGGGGUGGUGAUCUCGUACCAUGCGCUUAGGAUGUUGGCGGUCAUAUGGGUCC